This 484-nucleotide ribosomal RNA is filed under the name uncultured bacterium. Its description in RNAcentral is "partial 16S ribosomal RNA". It matches the Rfam family "Bacterial small subunit ribosomal RNA", at positions 30 to 507 of the family's 1533-position model. The record is from RNAcentral.
AUUGAACGCUGGCGGCAGGCCUAACACAUGCAAGUCGAGCGGAUGAAGGGAGCUUGCUCCUGGAUUCAGCGGCGGACGGGUGAGUAAUGCCUAGGAAUCUGCCUGGUAGUGUGGGAUAACGUCCGGAAACGGGCGCUAAUACCGCAUACGUCCUGAGGGAGAAAGUGGGGGAUCUUCGGACCUCACGCUCUCAGAUGAGCCUAGGUCGGAUUAGCUAGUUGGUGGGGUAAAGGCCUACCAAGGCGACGAUCCGUAACUGGUCUGAGAGGAUGAUCAGUCACACUGGAACUGAGACACGGUCCAGACUCCUACGGGAGGCAGCAGUGGGGAAUAUUGGACAAAGGGCGAAAGCCUGAUCCAGCCAUGCCGCGUGUGUGAAGAAGGUCUUCGGAUUGUAAAGCACUUUAAGUUGGGAGGAAGGGCAGUAAGUUAAUACCUUGCUGUUUUGACGUUACCAACAGAAUAAGCACCGGCUAACUUCGUG